Molecule: ribosomal RNA, 750 nt
Filed under: Streptomyces kurssanovii
Lineage: Bacteria; Bacillati; Actinomycetota; Actinomycetes; Kitasatosporales; Streptomycetaceae
Description: bacterial SSU rRNA
Rfam family: Bacterial small subunit ribosomal RNA
Source: RNAcentral
UCGGUGGGGGAUUAGUGGCGAACGGGUGAGUAACACGUGGGCAAUCUGCCCUUCACUCUGGGACAAGCCCUGGAAACGGGGUCUAAUACCGGAUAACACUGCGGACCGCAUGGUCUGUGGUUGAAAGCUCCGGCGGUGAAGGAUGAGCCCGCGGCCUAUCAGCUUGUUGGUGGGGUGAUGGCCUACCAAGGCGACGACGGGUAGCCGGCCUGAGAGGGCGACCGGCCACACUGGGACUGAGACACGGCCCAGACUCCUACGGGAGGCAGCAGUGGGGAAUAUUGCACAAUGGGCGAAAGCCUGAUGCAGCGACGCCGCGUGAGGGAUGACGGCCUUCGGGUUGUAAACCUCUUUCAGCAGGGAAGAAGCGAAAGUGACGGUACCUGCAGAAGAAGCGCCGGCUAACUACGUGCCAGCAGCCGCGGUAAUACGUAGGGCGCAAGCGUUGUCCGGAAUUAUUGGGCGUAAAGAGCUCGUAGGCGGCUUGUCGCGUCGGAUGUGAAAGCCCGGGGCUUAACCCCGGGUCUGCAUUCGAUACGGGCAGGCUAGAGUGUGGUAGGGGAGAUCGGAAUUCCUGGUGUAGCGGUGAAAUGCGCAGAUAUCAGGAGGAACACCGGUGGCGAAGGCGGAUCUCUGGGCCAUUACUGACGCUGAGGAGCGAAAGCGUGGGGAGCGAACAGGAUUAGAUACCCUGGUAGUCCACGCCGUAAACGUUGGGAACUAGGUGUUGGCGACAUUCCACGUCGUCGG